RNAcentral lists this ribosomal RNA (460 nucleotides) under uncultured bacterium. RNAcentral's name for it is "partial 16S ribosomal RNA". It matches the Rfam family "Bacterial small subunit ribosomal RNA", at positions 338 to 795 of the family's 1533-position model. The record is from RNAcentral.
CCUACGGGAGGCAGCAGUGAGGAAUAUUGGUCAAUGGGCGGAAGCCUGAACCAGCCAAGUAGCGUGCAGGAUGACGGCCCUACGGGUUGUAAACUGCUUUUAUACGGGAAUAACGCGACUUACGUGUAGGUCUUUGCAUGUACCGUAUGAAUAAGGACCGGCUAAUUCCGUGCCAGCAGCCGCGGUAAUACGGAGGAUCCGAGCGUUAUCCGGAUUUAUUGGGUUUAAAGGGAGCGUAGGUGGGUUGUUAAGUCAGUUGUGAAAGUUUGCGGCUCAACCGUAAAAUUGCAGUUGAAACUGGCAGUCUUGAUUACAGUAGAGGUGGGCGGAAUUCGUGGUGUAGCGGUGAAAUGCUUAGAUAUCACGAAGAACUCCGAUUGCGAAGGCAGCCCACUGGACUGCAACUGACACUGAGGCUCGAAAGUGUGGGUAUCAAACAGGAUUAGAUACCCGGGUAGUC